UACGUAGGGUGCAAGCGUUAAUCGGAAUUACUGGGCGUAAAGCGUGCGCAGGCGGUUCGCUAAGACAGAUGUGAAAUCCCCGGGCUUAACCUGGGAACUGCAUUUGUGACUGGCGGGCUAGAGUAUGGCAGAGGGGGGUAGAAUUCCACGUGUAGCAGUGAAAUGCGUAGAGAUGUGGAGGAAUACCGAUGGCGAAGGCAGCCCCCUGGGCCAAUACUGACGCUCAGGCACGAAAGCGUGGGGAGCAAACAGG
RNAcentral lists this ribosomal RNA (253 nucleotides) under uncultured bacterium. RNAcentral's name for it is "partial 16S ribosomal RNA". It matches the Rfam family "Bacterial small subunit ribosomal RNA", at positions 524 to 776 of the family's 1533-position model. The record is from RNAcentral.